This is a small RNA of Halobacillus halophilus DSM 2266, 67 nucleotides long. It matches the Rfam family "Bacillaceae-1 RNA". The record is from Rfam. Lineage: Bacteria; Bacillati; Bacillota; Bacilli; Caryophanales; Bacillaceae.
CACAAGGGAUGUUCGACUAAGACCGCCACGUCCUGUGGCAACGUCGAACGACCCUGCGUCGUGCAGG